Molecule: ribosomal RNA, 200 nt
Filed under: uncultured bacterium
Lineage: Bacteria
Description: partial 16S ribosomal RNA
Rfam family: Bacterial small subunit ribosomal RNA
Source: RNAcentral
ACGCUCGACACCUACGGGAGGCAGCAGGUGGGGAAUAUUGCACAAUGGGGGAAACCCUGAUGCAGCAACGCCGCGUGAAGGAAGACGGUUUUCGGAUUGUAAACUUCUGUUCUUAGUGAAGAUAGUGACGGUAGCUAAGGAGCAAGCCACGGCCUAACUACGUGCCAGCAGCCGCGGUAAUCUGAGCGGGCUGGCAAGGC